RNAcentral lists this ribosomal RNA (253 nucleotides) under uncultured bacterium. RNAcentral's name for it is "partial 16S ribosomal RNA". It matches the Rfam family "Bacterial small subunit ribosomal RNA", at positions 524 to 776 of the family's 1533-position model. The record is from RNAcentral.
UACGUAGGGUGCAAGCGUUGUCCGGAAUUAUUGGGCGUAAAGAGCUUGUAGGCGGUUUGUCGCGUCUGCUGUGAAAUUUCGGGGCUCAACCCCGAACUUGCAGUGGGUACGGGCAGACUAGAGUGUGGUAGGGGAGACUGGAAUUCCUGGUGUAGCGGUGAAAUGCGCAGAUAUCAGGAGGAACACCGAUGGCGAAGGCAGGUCUCUGGGCCAUAACUGACGCUGAGGGACGAAAGCUAGGGGAGCGAAUGGG